GCAAGUAUAGUUUAAACAAAACAUUAGUCUGUGAUCCUAAAAAUAGAAGUUAAAUCCUUCUUACCUGCCAAGGGGAGGU
Molecule: transfer RNA, 79 nt
Filed under: Topaza pyra
Lineage: Eukaryota; Metazoa; Chordata; Aves; Apodiformes; Trochilidae
Description: tRNA-His
Rfam family: tRNA (bases 1-69)
About the family: Transfer RNA (tRNA) molecules are approximately 80 nucleotides in length.
Source: RNAcentral